This 381-nucleotide ribosomal RNA is filed under the name uncultured bacterium. Its description in RNAcentral is "bacterial SSU rRNA". It matches the Rfam family "Bacterial small subunit ribosomal RNA", at positions 29 to 400 of the family's 1533-position model. The record is from RNAcentral.
AACGAACGCUGGCGGCGCGCCUAAUACAUGCAAGCCGAGCGAGAAGACGUAGCAAUACGUUUGUAAAGCGGCGAACGGGUGAGGAAUACAUGGGUAACCUACCCUCGAGUGGGGAAUAACUAGCCGAAAGGUUAGCUAAUACCGCGUACGCUCCUUGGACUUCGGUUCAGGGAGGAAAGCGAUACCGUGGGUAUCGCGCUCUUGGAUGGGCUCAUGUCCUAUCAGCUUGUUGGUGAGGUAACGGCUCACCAAGGCUUCGACGGGUAGCUGGUCUGAGAGGACGAUCAGCCACACUGGCACUGCGACACGGGCCAGACUCCUACGGGAGGCAGCAGUAAGGAAUAUUGCGCAAUGGGCGAAAGCCUGACGCAGCGACGCCGC